AUUGAACGCUGGCGGCAUGCUUUACACAUGCAAGUCGAACGGCAGCGCGGGGCAACCUGGCGGCGAGUGGCGAACGGGUGAGUAAUACAUCGGAACGUACUCAGAAGUGGGGGAUAACGUAGCGAAAGUUACGCUAAUACCGCAUACGUUCUACGGAAGAAAGUGGGGGACCUUCGGGCCUCAUGCUUUUGGAGCGGCCGAUGUCUGAUUAGCUAGUUGGUGAGGUAAAGGCUCACCAAGGCGACGAUCAGUAGCUGGUCUGAGAGGACGACCAGCCACACUGGGACUGAGACACGGCCCAGACUCCUACGGGAGGCAGCAGUGGGGAAUUUUGGACAAUGGGCGCAAGCCUGAUCCAGCAAUGCCGCGUGAGUGAAGAAGGCCUUCGGGUUGUAAAGCUCUUUUGUCAGGGAAGAAACGGCUGAGGAUAAUACCUUCGGCUAAUGACGGUACCUGAAGAAUAAGCACCGGCUAACUACGUG
RNAcentral lists this ribosomal RNA (482 nucleotides) under uncultured bacterium. RNAcentral's name for it is "partial 16S ribosomal RNA". It matches the Rfam family "Bacterial small subunit ribosomal RNA", at positions 30 to 507 of the family's 1533-position model. The record is from RNAcentral.